Non-coding RNA from Camelus dromedarius (Arabian camel), 74 nucleotides. The record is from the annotation of a RefSeq genome assembly. Lineage: Eukaryota; Metazoa; Chordata; Mammalia; Artiodactyla; Camelidae.
GGAGGGGUAUAGCUCAGUGGUAGAGCAUGUGCUUAGAAUGCAUGAGGUCCUGGGUUCAAUCCCCAGGACUUCCA